UGGGGAAUAUUGCACAAUGGGCGAAAGCCUGAUGCAGCAACGCCGCGUGAGUGAUGAAGGCCUUCGGGUUGUAAAGCACUUUUGUCCGGAAAGAAAUCCUUGGCUCUAAUACAGUCGGGGGAUGACGGUACCGGAAGAAUAAGCACCGGCUAACUACGUGCCAGCAGCCGCGGUAAUACGUAGGUGCAAGCGUUAAUCGGAAUUACUGGGCGUAAAGCGUGCGCAGGCGGUUUGCUAAGACCGAUGUGAAAUCCCCGGGCUCAACCUGGGAACUGCAUUGGUGACUGGCAGGCUAGAGUAUGGCAGAGGGGGGUAGAAUUCCACGUGUAGCAGUGAAAUGCGUAGAGAUGUGGAGGAAUACCGAUGG
This 367-nucleotide ribosomal RNA is filed under the name uncultured bacterium. RNAcentral's name for it is "partial 16S ribosomal RNA". It matches the Rfam family "Bacterial small subunit ribosomal RNA", at positions 355 to 715 of the family's 1533-position model. The record is from RNAcentral.